UUUAGUACAAAUCUAAAGUGAGACCUGCCCAGUGAUUUUUAAAUAAAUAAAUUUAACAAUUUAAAAUAAAAUUUAAAGGACGCAGUAACCUGACUGUGAUAAUGUAGCAUAAUCAUUCGCCAUUUAAUUGAUGGAUAGUAUGAAAGGUUAAACGAAUCCCUCAUUGUCUUAAAAAGAGGCAUCAUAAAAUUAGAGUAAUAGUUAAGAUACUAUUUAAAAUUGUAAGACGAAAAGACCCUAUAGAGCUUAACUACAUUCUUUUUUAUUAAAAAGAAUAGUCUAUUCUAAAUAGAAAGAAAGGUAGUUUAGUUGGGGCGACUAUCUUCUAAACAAAACGAAGAUAAGCAAUUAUUAAUAAAUAAUUUAUUGUAUAAUAAAUAAAUUUAACAAUUACAAAAGUAGGCUAUAAUGACCCGUUAUAAUUAGAUGAUAAAUUUAACGAUCAAUAAAUAAAAGCUACCUUAGGGAUAACAGGAUAAUUUUGUUUUAGAGACCCUAUCGAAGACAAAGUUUGUCACCUCUAUGUUGAAUUAAGAUAUCCAGAUAAUGUAGCCGUUAUCAACGGUAGGUCUGUUCGACCUUCAAAAU
RNAcentral lists this ribosomal RNA (588 nucleotides) under Stellapora echinata. Its description in RNAcentral is "partial 16S large subunit ribosomal RNA". It matches the Rfam family "Bacterial large subunit ribosomal RNA", at positions 1835 to 2594 of the family's 2925-position model. The record is from RNAcentral. Lineage: Eukaryota; Metazoa; Cnidaria; Hydrozoa; Anthoathecata; Stylasteridae.